RNAcentral lists this ribosomal RNA (463 nucleotides) under uncultured Acidobacteriota bacterium. RNAcentral's name for it is "bacterial SSU rRNA". It matches the Rfam family "Bacterial small subunit ribosomal RNA", at positions 224 to 704 of the family's 1533-position model. Lineage: Bacteria; Pseudomonadati; Acidobacteriota. The record is from RNAcentral.
GAGGGGGUCGCGGCUGAUUAGCUAGUUGGUGAGGUAAUGGCUCACCAAGGCGAAGAUCGGUAUCCGGCCUGAGAGGGCGCACGGACACACUGGAACUGAAACACGGUCCAGACUCCUACGGGAGGCAGCAGUGGGGAAUUUUGCGCAAUGGGGGAAACCCUGACGCAGCAACGCCGCGUGGAGGAUGAAGCUCCUUGGAGUGUAAACUCCUUUCGACCGGGACGAUAAUGACGGUACCGGUGGAAGAAGCACCGGCUAACUCUGUGCCAGCAGCCGCGGUAAUACAGAGGGUGCGAGCGUUGUUCGGAAUUAUUGGGCGUAAAGGGCGCGUAGGCGGUGCGGUAAGUCACCUGUGAAAUCCCCGGGCUUAACUCGGGGCCUGCAGGCGAAACUGCCGUGCUGGAGGGUGGGAGAGGUGCGUGGAAUUCCCGGUGUAGCGGUGAAAUGCGUAGAUAUCGGGAGG